AUACGAAGGGGGCAAGCGUUGUUCGGAAUAACUGGGCGUAAAGCGCACGUAGGCGGAAUGUUAUGUUAGAGGUGAAAUCCCAGGGCUCAACCCUGGAACGGCCUUUAAUACUGGCAAUCUAGAGACCGAGAGAGGUGAGUGGAAUUCCGAGUGUAGAGGUGAAAUUCGUAGAUAUUCGGAGGAACACCAGUGGUGAAGGCGGCUCACUGGCUCGGUACUGACGCUGAGGUGCGAAAGCGUGGGGAGCAAACAGGAUUAGAUACCCUAGUAGUCC
RNAcentral lists this ribosomal RNA (274 nucleotides) under uncultured bacterium. RNAcentral's name for it is "partial 16S ribosomal RNA". It matches the Rfam family "Bacterial small subunit ribosomal RNA", at positions 523 to 796 of the family's 1533-position model. The record is from RNAcentral.